This 393-nucleotide small RNA is filed under the name Arabidopsis thaliana (thale cress). RNAcentral describes it as "ATSL274570". Lineage: Eukaryota; Viridiplantae; Streptophyta; Magnoliopsida; Brassicales; Brassicaceae. The record is from RNAcentral.
AAUGGAUAUGUUCCAUUGUCCUGCUUCUUUCAUCGGAGGGCUCUCUUUGGGCUUUUCGAAAAGGUAUCACAUGUCAAGUUUGGCCUCACUAUAUAAAAGUUCUAGAGUCAUAAAGUUUUAACCAAAGAAAAAAAUUAAAAAAAAAGAGGGAUGCAACACGAGGACUUCCCAGGAGGUCACCCAUCGUAGUUCUACUCUCGUCCAAGCACGCUUAACUGCGGAGUUCUGAUGGGAUCCGGUGUAUUAGUGCUUGUAUGAUCGCAUCCGUUAGUAUAUGCAAUGCAAUCGUAUAUAUUCUUUUUUGAAGACUUGAUGAACCAUUCGCCAUGGGUUCCACCCGCUAUGUAGGGAUACCACAUCUAUUCUUAACGAGCUUUGAUGCAUGAAAAAAAU